This 378-nucleotide unclassified non-coding RNA is filed under the name uncultured Kofleriaceae bacterium. RNAcentral's name for it is "contains 16S-23S intergenic spacer region". Lineage: Bacteria; Pseudomonadati; Myxococcota; Haliangiales; Kofleriaceae. The record is from RNAcentral.
UCCGACUUGACGUCGGCAGUCUCGUUAGAGUGCCCCACUUAAGGCUGGCAACUAACGACAGAGGUUGCGCUCGUUGCGGGACUUAACCCAACAUCUCACGACACGAGCUGACGACAGCCAUGCAGCACCGUCUCACUAGUUCCCCGAAGGGCACCCCGCCAUCUCUGGCAGCUUCUAGUGGAUUUAACCCAGGUAAGGUUCUGCGCGUUGCGUCGAAUUGAACCACAUGCUCCACCGCUUGUGCGGGCCCCCGUCAAUUCAUUUGAGUUUUAACCUUGCGGCCGUACUCCCCAGGCGGUCAACUUAAUGCGUUAGCUCCGGUUCGGCAGGGGUCAAAUCCCGCCAAACCUAGUUCCCAUCGUUUACAGCGUGGACUAC